AGAGUUUGAUUAUGGCUCAGGAUGAACGCUAGCUACAGGCUUAACACAUGCAAGUCGAGGGGCAUCGAGAAGAAAGCUUGCUUCUUGUCGGCGACCGGCGCACGGGUGAGUAACGCGUAUCCAACCUUCCCUAUAGUAGGGGAUAGCCCGGCGAAAGUCGGAUUAAUACCCUAUGUUAUUCAACGAUGGCAUCUGAAUUGAAUCAAAGGUUUACCGCUAUAGGAUGGGGAUGCGUCUGAUUAGCUUGUUGGCGGGGUAACGGCCCACCAAGGCAACGAUCAGUAGGGGUUCUGAGAGGAAGGUCCCCCACAUUGGUACUGAGACACGGACCAAACUCCUACGGGAGGCAGCAGUGAGGAAUAUUGGUCAAUGGGCGAGAGCCUGAACCAGCCAAGUAGCCGUGCAGGAUGACUGCCCUAUGGGUUGUAAACUGCUUUUAUAGGGGAAUAAAGUGAGGGACGUGUCCCUUUUUGUAUGUACCCUAUGAAUAAGGACCGGCUAAUUCCGUGCCAGCCGCGGC
RNAcentral lists this ribosomal RNA (520 nucleotides) under uncultured bacterium. RNAcentral describes it as "bacterial SSU rRNA". It matches the Rfam family "Bacterial small subunit ribosomal RNA", at positions 8 to 518 of the family's 1533-position model. The record is from RNAcentral.